Molecule: small nuclear RNA, 107 nt
Filed under: Chinchilla lanigera (long-tailed chinchilla)
Lineage: Eukaryota; Metazoa; Chordata; Mammalia; Rodentia; Chinchillidae
Source: RNAcentral
GUGCUCGCUUUGGCAGCACAUAUACUAAAAUCAGAAUGAUACAGAGAAGAUUAGCAUGGCCCCUAUGCAAGGAUGACAUGUAAAUUCGUGAAGCAUUGCAUAUUUAU